UGAUCUAACACUGUCAUCUGAGGAAGAGGAUAGAAAAUUUACAGAAAAAGAGAAGGAAAAGCCAAGUGAUGACAGCAGCAAAGAUGUUCUUUCAAGUCAGCCAGAUGGAGUUGGUCAGCAAGAAACACCUCCUGACAGCAACAGUGACGAUAGCCCAUCAGCAUCUAAGAAAGCACCUGGAAGCAAACUGUCUGCUUCAGCACCUCCAUUCAAUCCAGGAUCACUCUUAUCAAUGUCACACCCGUACAGCACAGUGGCAAUAUAUGAUGCCAGUGCUGUUCUUCAGGCAAUGCCAAGCCAAGCAAUGGAGAUUCUCCCUCAUGCCAUUGAUA
RNAcentral lists this long non-coding RNA (332 nucleotides) under Setaria italica (foxtail millet). RNAcentral describes it as "long non-coding RNA (SITA_LNC005474)". The record is from RNAcentral. Lineage: Eukaryota; Viridiplantae; Streptophyta; Magnoliopsida; Poales; Poaceae.